RNAcentral lists this ribosomal RNA (433 nucleotides) under uncultured bacterium. RNAcentral describes it as "partial 16S ribosomal RNA". It matches the Rfam family "Bacterial small subunit ribosomal RNA", at positions 29 to 507 of the family's 1533-position model. The record is from RNAcentral.
AACGAACGCUGGCGGCAUGCCUAACACAUGUAAGUCGAACGAGACCUUCGGGUCUAGUGGCGCACGGGUGCGUAACGCGUGGGAACCUGCCCUUAGGUUCGGAAUAACUCCCCGAAAGGGGUGCUAAUACCGGAUAAUGUCUUCGGACCAAAGAUUUAUCGCCUUUGGAUGGGCCCGCGUUGGAUUAGCUAGUUGGUAGGGUACAAGCCUACCAAGGCGACGAUCCAUAGCUGGUCUGAGAGGAUGAUCAGCCACACUGGGACUGAGACACGGCCCAGACUCCUACGGGAGGCAGCAGUGGGGAAUAUUGGACAAGGGGCGAAAGCCUGAUCCAGCAAUGCCGCGUGAGUGAUGAAGGCCUUAGGGUUGUAAAGCUCUUUUACCCGGGAUGAUAAUGACAGUACCGGGAGAAUAAGCGCCGGCUAACUCCGUG